Molecule: unclassified non-coding RNA, 381 nt
Filed under: plant metagenome
Description: partial contains 5.8S ribosomal RNA, internal transcribed spacer 2, and large subunit ribosomal RNA
Source: RNAcentral
UCUUCCGAACGUGCCGAACGCCUUCGACCUCGUGAAAACGGACGAGGAUCGCGAUUUCCUGAAGCUGGUGUUCGGUCCGUGGAGCUACGGCCGGCCCUUGGUCGCGCCGCCCGGCAUUCCGCAGGACCGCUUGGACGCCUUGCGCGCCGCGUUCGAGGCCACGAUGAAGGACCCGGCCUUCCUGGACGAGGCGAAGAAGCUCAACCUCGAAGUGCAGCCCAUAUCGGCGGACCGGAUCGAGGUGCUCGUCGCGGAACUCUACAAAACGUCGCGCCCUGUGGUGGAGCGGGCGCGCGAGGCGCUCGGCAUCGGCAGCCGGUAGGGAAUGGAUCAGCGCCUGACCCUGGAGGAAUCCUAUGAAGCCCUGGAUGGAGAUGAUUC